Russula emetica is the source of this 102-nucleotide non-coding RNA. Lineage: Eukaryota; Fungi; Basidiomycota; Agaricomycetes; Russulales; Russulaceae. The record is from the annotation of a GenBank genome assembly.
GCCGGGGUAGCUCAGCUGGGAGAGCAACAGACUGAAGCGUGGUCAUCCUUCUACGGCUACGGAGCAAUCUGGAGGUCCCGUGUUCAAUCCACGGUCCUGGCA